RNAcentral lists this ribosomal RNA (253 nucleotides) under uncultured bacterium. RNAcentral's name for it is "partial 16S ribosomal RNA". It matches the Rfam family "Bacterial small subunit ribosomal RNA", at positions 524 to 776 of the family's 1533-position model. The record is from RNAcentral.
UACGAAGGGGGCUAGCGUUGCUCGGAAUUACUGGGCGUAACGGGCGCGUAGGCGGACAGUUUAGUCAGAGGUGAAAGCCCAGGGCUCAACCUUGGAAUUGCCUUUGAUACUGACUGUCUUGAGUACGGGAGAGGUGUGUGGAACUCCGAGUGUAGAGGUGAAAUUCGUAGAUAUUCGGAAGAACACCAGUGGCGAAGGCGACUACCUGGCCUGUUCUUGACGCUGAGGCGCGAAAGCUAGGGGAGCAAACGGG